RNAcentral lists this RNase P RNA (390 nucleotides) under Chitinophaga sp. CF118. RNAcentral's name for it is "Bacterial RNase P class A". It matches the Rfam family "Bacterial RNase P class A". Rfam says of the family: Ribonuclease P (RNase P) is a ubiquitous endoribonuclease, found in archaea, bacteria and eukarya as well as chloroplasts and mitochondria. Lineage: Bacteria; Pseudomonadati; Bacteroidota; Chitinophagia; Chitinophagales; Chitinophagaceae. The record is from RNAcentral.
ACUACAGACCGUGCUAUCGCUCUGAGAUUUAUUUCAGUGAGGAAAGUCCGGACAGCAUAGGGCAACGCACCACCUAACGGGUGGGGCCUGUGAAGGGUGAAAGCCUGAGACAGGUACAGAAAGUGCCACAGAAAAUGACCGCUCCAUAACGGCUUGCCGGUAUGGAGUAAGGGUGAAAAUGUGGGGUAAGAGCCCACGUUCUGUAAUGGCAACAUUAUAGGAGGGUAAACCUUGCGUGCUGAAACGCCAUGUAUACAGUCGAUUGAGGGCGGCUCGCCCGAUGACUGAGGGUAGGCAGCUACAGGUGACGUGUGAACGUCAUCGCAGAUAAAUGAUAGCAUCACGGGCAUUGCCCGGGAACAGAAUCCGGCUUACAGGUUUGUAGUUUAU